This 919-nucleotide ribosomal RNA is filed under the name uncultured alveolate. RNAcentral's name for it is "partial 18S ribosomal RNA". It matches the Rfam family "Eukaryotic small subunit ribosomal RNA", at positions 41 to 1106 of the family's 1831-position model. The record is from RNAcentral.
AGACAUAACCAUGCCGUCUAAGUACAAACUAAAUGAUGGUGAAACUGCAAAUGGCUCAUUACAACGGUUAUGAUGUACCCGGGAGUUCCGAUGGAUAUUUCCAGUAACACUAGAACUAAUACAUGCUCCUGCGUUUAUUAGUUUCGCACAGUCCGUCGCUGAGUCGUGGUAAACAGUUGAUCGACUCGACGUCCCGGAACAGUUUCCGCCCCAUCAGCUUCGAUGGUUGGGUAUUGGCCUACCAUUGCAACAACGGGUAACGAGGAAUUAGGGUUUGAUUUCGGAGAGGGAGCCUGAGAAACGGCUACCACAUCUACGGAUGGCAGCAGGCGCGCAAAUUACCCAAUGCAGACUCUGUGAGGUAGUGACGAGAAAUAAUAAAGCGGGACUUCUGUUUCGCUAUUAUAAUGAGGAAUAACCAAAGGUCAUUCCGAUUAGCAACUGAUGGGAAAGUCUGGUGCCAGCAGCCGCGGUAAUACCAGCGUCAGUAGCAUAUAUUAAAAUUGUUGCAGUUAAAACGUCCGUAGUCUGUACGUCGUCCCAAACUCACUGCAGUCUUCCGUUUUCUUCAUUGAAUGCGGUAGUUUCUGCAGUCACUCCCUUGAUCAAAUUAGGUUGUUCAAGGUAGACCAAGUCUUCAUAUUUUCACAUGGAAUUGGGUGAGGGAACUUAAGAGUUUAAGUUUCUCGUCUUANGAUCAUCCGGGGUCAUUCGUACUCGUCCGCGAGAGGUGAAAUUCUUGGACCGGACGAAGACGACCAGCAGCGAAAGCAUCUGUCAGGGAUGUUUUCUGCGACAAAGGACGAAGUCAGGGUAUCGAAGACGAUUAGAUACCGUCGUANAUCCUGACUGUGAAACUAUGCCAACUUGGGUCUUGCUGGGGCGAUGCUUUGUGAGACCCACACAGAAAUGAAAGUGU